UGUAAAUUGAAACAAUGAUAAGGAAGACUUUGGCAUGCGACGUGAAUGACGGAACAAUAUGAUUGCAGUAGCCUAAGCAAAGUGCUCCAGCAAGGGGUUGACUUCGCUUUCAGGGGUCUUGACGCUGUCUGUUCUUACGAUGCACGUUGGGCGGUGGUGAUUCAACAUGAUGAUCAGCUGCUGCCGCUCAUGCUUCAGCUCCUCGAUCUGGGCUUUGAGGUGAUGCCCUUGGUCAACAUUAAGUAGAUACUGAAGUCCCUCUGUACUCUGGGAAAUAACAUUGCCUAUGUUUUCUACAAAUUUCUGUGAUGGGGCCUCUUCCCUAGCUUGCCCAGGAAGUGCAGAGGAGAGAGCAUGGACCCCAGUUCCCGGAGGUCGGCGAAUUUGAGCUGGUCAGUCAGCGUGGUGGAGGGGAUCCCUGCCAGGGGACCCAGGCUGGGCAGGGAGCCCGCUGUCACCAGGGGAUCUGGGAUUGGUCCCGGCAUCAUGUUAGACCCGGCUGUGACCACAGCUUAUAGGGAAAGGGACAAAUGUAUAGGAAAAUACAUUGAGAAGAAAAUAAACAACACAUGGUUUGAGAUGUACGAUUCACCACCUCUGAAUAUUUCACAGGGAUACUUGCCUGACGACUCAACCUGAAUUUAAUUCCGCUGCUCUACUGAUCGCUACAUACAUUCAGUCUGAAACUGCCAUCCUACAAGUUGUUUGUGUGACUUGAAAAUGAGGGGCGUUGUACAAAAUAAAAUGAUCAGCGAUUGGAUCGUCUCUAACAAAUCUAACCAGAGUAUCAAAGUUGAUAACGUCAUCAUGAAGACCAGCUCUGGCCCAAUCCAUUGGUUUCUGGGACCAAUCAUAAUGGUCAGAAUGUGUUCACAUUCUAGGAAUCGUCAAAGAGGGAGGCAAAUGCAGAUUCAUCGUGGAGAAUAAACUUCCGUUGGCUUCAGGCAAUAGCUAUACCAGAGUUAAAGAUCUGAAUACAUUUUACCCCAAGCAUUCACAUCUCAAACCUGCUUGUGGUUUUGGUAUAGAAGACAGAUCAUUAAUUGCUCUAAAUCCAUUUAAGUCUGCUAAAGGGCUUGAAGGAGGCAUUUCCCAGGGUGCACCUGGUCUCCCUGGCAGCCCUCUCUAAUGAAUUGUUGGCCUGUUACAGAGCCAGAGGCCGAGGCUGUCUCCCA
Oncorhynchus gorbuscha (pink salmon) is the source of this 1175-nucleotide long non-coding RNA. RefSeq lists it as uncharacterized. The record is from RefSeq and is a predicted model, not a curated record. NCBI's taxonomy places the organism in Eukaryota, Metazoa, Chordata, Actinopteri, Salmoniformes, Salmonidae. The transcript has 4 exons.